CUCAGAUCCAGCAGUGGGAAGAGCUUGCUAAGAGGAAGUGAGCUCUGUGGAUCAAAACUAACUCUGACUGGGGCUGCUCCUUACUGACCUGUAUGCAACUAGGGAACAAGUCUUUAAAAGGAGAGGAGCAGAAAGGAAGGCAGUGAACAGACAGACCUGGAAGCAAAGGGCAGGAGGGAACAGAAGAGAGCUUCCCAAGCCAUCUGCAAGCUGCUAUAAACCCAUCUACGUUUGAUGCUGGAGGGAAGCGGGCUGUACGCCUCUUGGUGCUGUCCCCAGCUGCUCGUGGAAGUCAGCGCUGCUUCGUUUGGGUUUUGCUGCCGUGUUUCCCACAGCGUGAGAGCUGUCUCAGCCGCCGCUGGGCGCCGGGUAUGUCGAGGGGCUUCAGCGGGUGGUGGGAG
Molecule: long non-coding RNA, 401 nt
Filed under: Gallus gallus (chicken)
Lineage: Eukaryota; Metazoa; Chordata; Aves; Galliformes; Phasianidae
Description: lncRNA (ENSGALG00010024414.1)
Source: RNAcentral